This 24-nucleotide non-coding RNA is filed under the name Cricetulus griseus (Chinese hamster). The record is from RNAcentral. Lineage: Eukaryota; Metazoa; Chordata; Mammalia; Rodentia; Cricetidae.
AGGACAUUCCUGGACUGACAGAUA